UACAGAGGUCCCAAGCGUUGUUCGGAUUCACUGGGCGUAAAGGGUGCGUAGGCGGUCGGGUAAGUCUGAUGUGAAAUCUCACAGCUUAACUGUGAAACUGCAUUGGAUACUAUCCGGCUCGAGGAAUGGAGGGGAGACUGGAAUACUUGGUGUAGCAGUGAAAUGCGUAGAUAUCAAGUGGAACACCAGUAGCGAAGGCGAGUCUCUGGACAUUUCCUGACGCUGAGGCACGAAAGCCAGGGGAGCAAACGGG
RNAcentral lists this ribosomal RNA (253 nucleotides) under uncultured bacterium. Its description in RNAcentral is "partial 16S ribosomal RNA". It matches the Rfam family "Bacterial small subunit ribosomal RNA", at positions 524 to 776 of the family's 1533-position model. The record is from RNAcentral.